This 250-nucleotide ribosomal RNA is filed under the name uncultured bacterium. Its description in RNAcentral is "partial 16S ribosomal RNA". It matches the Rfam family "Bacterial small subunit ribosomal RNA", at positions 524 to 773 of the family's 1533-position model. The record is from RNAcentral.
UACGUAGGUGGCAAGCGUUGUCCGGAAUUAUUGGGCGUAAAGCGCGCGUAGGCGGGAUGGAAAGUCUGUUGUGAAAUUGCGGGGCUCAACCCCGUAUUGGCAAUGGAAACUUUCAUUCUUGAGUGCAGGAGAGGAAAGUGGAAUUCCCAGUGUAGCGGUGAAAUGCGUAGAUAUUGGGAGGAACACCAGUGGCGAAGGCGACUUUCUGGACUGUGUCUGACGCUGAGGUGCGAAAGCUAGGGGAGCGAAC